RNAcentral lists this ribosomal RNA (253 nucleotides) under uncultured bacterium. Its description in RNAcentral is "partial 16S ribosomal RNA". It matches the Rfam family "Bacterial small subunit ribosomal RNA", at positions 524 to 776 of the family's 1533-position model. The record is from RNAcentral.
UACGUAGGGUGCAAGCGUUAAUCGGAAUUACUGGGCGUAAAGCGUGCGCAGGCGGUUAUGUAAGACAGGUGUGAAAGCCCCGGGCUCAACCUGGGAACUGCAUUUGAAACUGGCGGGCUUGAGUAUGGCAGAGGGGGGUGGAAUUCCGCGUGUAGCAGUGAAAUGCGUAGAGAUGCGGAGGAACACCGAUGGCGAAGGCAGCCCCCUGGGCCAAUACUGACGCUCAGGCACGAAAGCGUGGGGAGCAAACAGG